CCUACGGGAGGCAGCAGUGGGGGAUAUUGCACAAUGGGCGCAAGCCUGAUGCAGCGACGCCGCGUGGAGGAAGAAGGUUUUCGGAUUGUAAACUCCUGUCUUCAGGGACGAUAAUGACGGUACCUGAGGAGGAAGCCACGGCUAACUACGUGCCAGCAGCCGCGGUAAUACGUAGGUGGCAAGCGUUGUCCGGAAUUACUGGGUGUAAAGGGAGCGUAGGCGGGAUUGCAAGUUAAAUGUGAAAUCUAUCGGCUCAACCGGUAGCUGCGUUUAAAACUGUAGUUCUUGAGUGAAGUAGAGGCAGGCGGAAUUCCUAGUGUAGCGGUGAAAUGCGUAGAUAUUAGGAGGAACACCAGUGGCGAAGGCGGCCUGCUGGGCUUUUACUGACGCUGAGGCUCGAAAGUGUGGGUAGCAAACAGGAUUAGAUACCCUGGUAGUC
This 439-nucleotide ribosomal RNA is filed under the name Hydrogenoanaerobacterium saccharovorans. RNAcentral describes it as "bacterial SSU rRNA". It matches the Rfam family "Bacterial small subunit ribosomal RNA", at positions 338 to 795 of the family's 1533-position model. Lineage: Bacteria; Bacillati; Bacillota; Clostridia; Eubacteriales; Oscillospiraceae. The record is from RNAcentral.